AUCCCAAUGUAUGUACCUGGAUGUUUCAGUCGAAGUGUGAGUAGCAGUGGAUGUGACACUGGUCAGGGCUGUUCCCAUGCCACAGAUGCCUUAAAAAUCUGACAUCAGCUGGGGCUGUUGGCAUGGACACUUACUCAUGGCUUCUCCACGUGGCCCAGGCUUCUUCCUGGAAGACAGAUGAGCUAAGAAGGAGAGAGAAUUGUCAGAAGUUGCAUUACAGUAUCUGAACUAGUGUGAAAAAUCACACCACUUCACUUUCCAGUGUACUAUUGAUUAGAAUCAAGUCACUAAGACUGACCUACUAUGUCACCAAAUUUAAGGCAAUAUUUAAAAAUUUUGGGGCAUGUUUUAUGACCACCAAAAAGAAAAAUAUAUCUAUAUGAAACAUAUAAUAUAAACAAUAUAUAAAAAUAUACAUACUAUAUAGUAUAUAUAAUAUAGUAUAUAGUAUAGUAUUAUAUAUAAUACUAUACUGUAGUGCUAUACUAUAGUAUUAUACUGUAUUAUACAGUACUUAUAAAUGGUAUAUAAGUAUUAUAUAUAUUAUAUAAGUACUUAUAAACUAUAUAUAAGUAUAUAUAUAAAAUAUAUAAAAAUAUAUAAAUAUAUAAAAUAUAUACUUGUAUAUAACAUAUCGUAUAAAUAUAUAUAACAUAUAAUAUAUAGAGAUAUUUGAGUAUAUAAAAUUCUUUUAUUUCCAGUUUGAAUUGCCCAUUAGACUUUGUAAUGUGAACUAUUACAUAGUUCACAAAAAAUUAGAGGCUCAUAAGUGACUCCUUUGCUAUGUAUAACUAGGUUAAUUUUAAACUGUAGUGAGGUUCCCUUUGUAAUGAAAUUCUCCAUUAAGGAAUUUUUAAUAGAAGGUCAUAAUUAUACAUUUUGUUAUAUUAAACUUGAGCUAGGGUCACCCGUAAUUUCAUUAAAUAAUGUAUGUAUUAUUUUCAAUCGUGUUCUAAUGCAUUGAACGUUUUAAUGUAUCUCAAACUGUUAAUCACUAACUGAAACAGCUGCUUUAUUUGAACAGCAUUUAUAAAAUGAUAUGCAAACAAGCUUUGCUUCAUGUUUUGACAGAAGUUAAAUCCACUUUCAUCAGAGAGUCCUGCUCAGUGUGUGUUCUUUACCUGGGAAUGAAAGGAACUUCAAGCCUGGAACUCUACUUUCUUCCCUUUGACAUCUGUGCUACUGUGGAGAGGGCAAUAAAAAGAU
This 1206-nucleotide long non-coding RNA is filed under the name Homo sapiens (human). Its description in RNAcentral is "HSALNT0281415". The record is from RNAcentral. Lineage: Eukaryota; Metazoa; Chordata; Mammalia; Primates; Hominidae.